Nymphalis io (European peacock) is the source of this 221-nucleotide long non-coding RNA. RefSeq lists it as uncharacterized. The record is from RefSeq and is a predicted model, not a curated record. The transcript has 2 exons. NCBI's taxonomy places the organism in Eukaryota, Metazoa, Arthropoda, Insecta, Lepidoptera, Nymphalidae.
UUUUGAGUCAAUGUCGUCUAUUCGAACAGUCGCAGUCCCGUCCUCGUAUAGUUGGCAAAUGAGAGGAACUAGGUGGUUAGGUACUCCCAUUUGUAUGAGUACGUCCCAUAACUUGUGCCAUUUCACGGUGUCGAAGGCCUUGCGAAAGUCGACGAAGCAGAUAUAGAGCGGGCUGUUAAACUCUCUAGACUUUUCGAUUAACUGUCGAAGAAUUAAAAUCU